UUAGUCAGCAACAACAUUAUCAUGCUUCAAAAUAUCUGUGUUUGUCUAUAAAUACAUAUUCUUCAAGAGAUGAUAUAUGUGCUUCCCAUCCUAAACAUUGCAAUUAAUAUAGUAUAAGAAAUAUGAAACCUUCCUACAAAUUGAAGUCAUUUGUUGCUCUUUUAGCAAUACUUUUAUUACUAAUGUCAUCUAUGAUGGUUACUGAUGCCCAAUCCAAUUUCAAACAUGGGCGAAAACUUUUCCAGAAUGAUUAUUCUGCGCCUGGUUACCCAACUACCCCUGGAGGAUAUGGAGGAUAUCCGUGACUCUUCUUUUUACUCUUAACUUUUUAUCUCUAUUUUAGUUUUAAUAUUAUUUUCAUUUAUUAUAAAAUUAGUUUAUAAUAAAGGAAAAAUGAAAUUAAGAGAGACAAAUAAAGGGCUUAAGAAAAUGGAGAGAGAAAGACAAGAUCCAGACAAUGCAAGUUAUAUAGUACUUAUUUAUAUAGCUUUUGAUAUAUUUACUAAAUAAGGAGUUAUAAAUAAUUUGUAUUUUAUUUGGCAGUAUAAUUAUAAUUAUUUGGCAUGUCCAAUUU
Long non-coding RNA from Vicia villosa (hairy vetch), 574 nucleotides. RefSeq lists it as uncharacterized. The record is from RefSeq and is a predicted model, not a curated record. The transcript has 2 exons. Lineage: Eukaryota; Viridiplantae; Streptophyta; Magnoliopsida; Fabales; Fabaceae.